GAAGACAGUGCCUGACCCAGUGUCCACUACUUCAAGAAAUGGGCAUAAGGUGGCAGCACUGGUAGUGCCUGCAGGUGUUGUGGAGAGAAACUUGGCCAAGGGCCAGCUGUACUUGAGCUGCUAAGUCCCAGGGAAAAGAUGGAAAAGGGGAACUCUGUUAAAGACCUCCUUAUUAGGGUAGUAAGUGAUGGAAGGAAAAAGGCUUCUCCUGGGGGAGCAGUGGCACCAGGAGCUCCACUAGGAGGAAUGCGUGAUGAGGUCACAUUGCCUGGCACCCAUACGUCUGUUAAAAGAAUAACUGCCACUUAUGAGGAAGGAUUAAGACGGACUGAUGAACAACAUGGAUGAAUCUUGAAAACAUGGUAUGGCAGGCAAGUUCUUCUAAUGCCUGGCCCUCAGGGAAGCCUACAGAGAGAGGCAAUUCGGAAAACCCUGUUUUGGAACAGAGCUGCUCCUCAAUAGCUCCCCAUGGAAGAGGAAUUCCUGCCACAAAUGACAAGACAUCACAGGCACACAGCUUGGACUAGAGUGAGGACUGCUGCUUCUUCCUUCUUGUGGUGCUCUGACCUGGGAGGCCCAUGAACUACAGUAUUAGGCAAGCACCCAGGCCACACCUUGCAGCAUGAAGGAUCUUAGCUCCCCGACCAGGGACCAA
Molecule: long non-coding RNA, 655 nt
Organism: Delphinapterus leucas (beluga whale)
Lineage: Eukaryota; Metazoa; Chordata; Mammalia; Artiodactyla; Monodontidae
Source: RefSeq, a predicted model, not a curated record